Small nucleolar RNA from Monodelphis domestica (gray short-tailed opossum), 84 nucleotides. Lineage: Eukaryota; Metazoa; Chordata; Mammalia; Didelphimorphia; Didelphidae. The record is from Ensembl.
AGCCAGUGAUGAAAUCCACAUUUCUGACACCUCGUAUGAGUAUUGCCACUACCAAUACUUGAUUAUGCUUGAGAUCUGAGGCUG